Molecule: ribosomal RNA, 447 nt
Filed under: uncultured bacterium
Lineage: Bacteria
Description: bacterial SSU rRNA
Rfam family: Bacterial small subunit ribosomal RNA
Source: RNAcentral
GACGAACGCUGGCGGCGUGCUUAACACAUGCAAGUCGAACGUGAUUUUUAAGGAAAGCCCUUCGGGGUGGGAAUUAAAAUGAAAGUGGCGAACGGGUGAGUAACACGUGAGCAACCUACCUUACACAGGGGGAUAGCCGUUGGAAACGACGAUUAAUACCGCAUGAGACCACAGAAUCGCAUGAUAUAGGGGUCAAAGAUUUAUCGGUGUAAGAAGGGCUCGCGUCUGAUUAGCUAGUUGGAAGGGUAAAGGCCUACCAAGGCGACGACCAGUAGCCGGUCUGAGAGGAUGAACGGCCACAUUGGAACUGAGACACGGUCCAAACUCCUACGGGAGGCAGCAGUGGGGAAUAUUGCACAAUGGGGGGAACCCUGAUGCAGCGACGCCGCGUGAGCGAAGAAGGUUUUCGAAUCGUAAAGCUCUGUCCUAUGAGAAGAUAANGACGGU